This 460-nucleotide ribosomal RNA is filed under the name uncultured bacterium. Its description in RNAcentral is "partial 16S ribosomal RNA". It matches the Rfam family "Bacterial small subunit ribosomal RNA", at positions 338 to 795 of the family's 1533-position model. The record is from RNAcentral.
CCUACGGGUGGCAGCAGUGAGGAAUAUUGGUCAAUGGACGAGAGUCUGAACCAGCCAAGUAGCGUGAAGGAUGACUGCCCUAUGUGUUGUAAACUUCUUUUAUAUGGGAAUACAAUGUUAUACGUGUGUGAUUCUGUAUGUACCAUAUGAAUAAGGAUCGGCUAACUCCGUGCCAGCAGCCGCGGUAAUACGGAGGAUCCGAGCGUUAUCCGGAUUUAUUGGGUUUAAAGGGUGCGUAGGUGGAUUGUUAAGUCAGUUGUGAAAGCUUGGGGCUCAACCGUGAAAUUGCAGUUGAAACUGGUCGGCUUGAGUGCAGUAGAGGUAGGCGGAAUGCGUGGUGUAGCGGUGAAAUGCUUAGAUAUCAUGAAGAACACCGAUUGCGAAGGCAGCUUACUGGACUGCAACUGACGCUGAGGCUCGAAAGUGUGGGUAGCAAACAGGAGUAGAUACCCGGGUAGUC